AAAACAUUUUUAAAAUUUGUUAAAACCUUAUAUAUUUUUUCCCGAAUCAUUCAAGUGUAAAAACGGAUAAAUUCACAUGAAAAACGAAAAACGAAAAAAUGAUGCAAUGAAAAGUCGAAUAUUUAAAGUCCAUCUGUCUCGUCGUUAAAAUGUCGUGACACGUGGUCGCACCUGGUUGUCGUCGAAAGAGGCAGUCAAAAUGCCAUGUGACUCAACGCACUGACAGGAGGCAGAAAAAGCCUGAGAUCGCAGUAGAUAGAAGCCUGUGAGAAUAAAGAGGAAAGAAGCAUCAAAAAUGCAGGAGAACAUUGUUAAAGAAUAUCCGGCCGAUAUUCGACAUAUGUCCGAAACAUUGGCUCCAGUUCGAACACGAUGGAAUCAUCGAAAUAUUUGAAGGUUUAAAAAACUGGGACAAGAAAGAAUAUUAUUAUUUAUAAUUAAAAGAAAUAACUUCUUACAAAGGAUAAUUAUUAAAAGAUUAUGUGACAACAUUGUCUUGGUAUCUUUCUUAUUGAACAUAUAUAUUAAAACUUCCAUACAUAUUAUAAAAACAUAUUAUUAUCGAAAUUUUGUUUUUCUUGUAAAUGAGACUUUUUACUUAAAGAUAAGAACAGAUUACUGUUUGUAAUAGAUAAAAGUAUUGGAAGCGAAUGUUGAACUUCUGAGAACUUUCAAUCUGAUUGAUAAGAUAAUGAAUGAAGUCUUGAACAAACGAAUGGAACGAACAUCCGCUAAUUCUUUGACAAUAGGAAUACAAAAAUAUAUAUGUCAAUGAAAACAAGGAUCAUGUUUCGUAGAUACUUUAUGGACAUCUUAUAAAACACAUUAUCUAUCAGAUAGCUUAGAGAAUCUUAGAACGAAUAUAAAGAGCUUGAAGAAAUUAUUUGAAAGAGAUUUUUCUGAAAAAUAAGACAUCUAAUUUUUAUUCAUAAGUAUACUUAUUUUUAAAUUUGAGAAAAAUUGGAAAAUUAUUAUAAUUUUUAAAAAAUUAAAAAUAACAUUUUUAUCUUAUCGAAAUUCUAAAAACUUUUUAAUCGUUUUUUAAUUUUCAGAAUUUAAUCAAAUUAUUUGAUUUUAGAUAAAACCGAAUCUCAAUUCUAGUUCAAUAACUUAUAUAUCUAUCGAUUACCAAAAAAUUAUAAUCUCUUCCGUUAAAAACUUUCCAAACGAAAAAAUCUAUGAAUGAUCCAAUCACAUAAUAAUAUAAUAUAAAUCAACAAUUAUUCUAUUUCACACAAAUCUAUAUUGCCAAAGAGGAAACCCGUCUGACUAAUCACAGUGGAAAUAAUCGUUAAAAGAGAAAUUACCAUAUAAAUAUUCCAAGUGACUCAUAAACAUCCUUCGAGUAUGCCACGUUUCACCGUUUCUUCCACCUCCGCCUAUGAAAUACCAAAGGGAUUUCGCAGGUUAACGAGACCAUGAUAAUCUACACGGCGGAAUCGAAUACACUGACCUGAAAAUUAUCAAUGAAUCGUGCGUGGAAACGGGAAUACGUGCGAAUACGAAGAAAUUCUCGGCAGGAGGAAAGAGAAAAAGAAGGGAUCCAAGAAAAGGACGGCAGGGUACAGGUGCCGCGCCCUGUUGAACCUCCAGUUCGACUUCUCACAGUCGAUUAUGUAUUCAUGAGUGUUUGAGAAGGAAGAAAAAGGAAAAAAAACAUAGUAGUCUCGUUCGAUACAAAGGAGAUUCCUUUUUAGGCAAAGAUAUAGAUAAAAGCUACACGACAUCGUUGGAAGUUUGCACUAAGAGAUGCAACACGAAUGAGAAUAGAAUUGUUCUAAUCUAAUUUAAUCUAAUGUUCUAAUCUAAAAAAUUAAAAAAAUUAAUAACACAGAAAAUACAGAAAGAUGUUUUGAAAAAAAAUUAAUUGUAAAAAAAAUUCAUUUAUAUCAUUUAUUGAAUUUAUUAAAUAUUUUAUAUAUUUUCUA
Apis cerana (Asiatic honeybee) is the source of this 1928-nucleotide long non-coding RNA. RefSeq lists it as uncharacterized. NCBI's taxonomy places the organism in Eukaryota, Metazoa, Arthropoda, Insecta, Hymenoptera, Apidae. The record is from RefSeq and is a predicted model, not a curated record.